UCCGGAGUAGCUCAGCGGUAGAGCAGUGCGCUGUUAACGCAUUGGUCGUCGGUUCGAAUCCGACCUCCGGAG
RNAcentral lists this transfer RNA (72 nucleotides) under Candidatus Berkelbacteria bacterium. RNAcentral describes it as "tRNA-Asn". It matches the Rfam family "tRNA". From Rfam's summary of the family: Transfer RNA (tRNA) molecules are approximately 80 nucleotides in length. Their secondary structure includes four short double-helical elements and three loops (D, anti-codon, and T loops). Further hydrogen bonds mediate the characteristic L-shaped molecular structure. tRNAs have two regions of fundamental functional importance: the anti-codon, which is responsible for specific mRNA codon recognition, and the 3' end, to which the tRNAs corresponding amino acid is attached (by aminoacyl-tRNA synthetases). tRNAs cope with the degeneracy of the genetic code in two manners: having more than one tRNA (with a specific anti-codon) for a particular amino acid; and 'wobble' base-pairing, i.e. permitting non-standard base-pairing at the 3rd anti-codon position. The record is from RNAcentral. Lineage: Bacteria; Candidatus Berkelbacteria.